RNAcentral lists this ribosomal RNA (627 nucleotides) under Copelatus sp. MB6572. RNAcentral's name for it is "SSU rRNA". It matches the Rfam family "Eukaryotic small subunit ribosomal RNA", at positions 8 to 605 of the family's 1831-position model. Lineage: Eukaryota; Metazoa; Arthropoda; Insecta; Coleoptera; Dytiscidae. The record is from RNAcentral.
UUGAUCCUGCCAGUAGUCAUAUGCUUGUCUCAAAGAUUAAGCCAUGCAUGUCUCAGUACAAGCCACAUUAAGGUGAAACCGCGAAAGGCUCAUUAAAUCAGUUAUGGUUCCUUAGAUCGUACCCACAUUUACUUGGAUAACUGUGGUAAUUCUAGAGCUAAUACAUGCAAACAGAGUUCCGACCGGAGACGGGAGGAAUGCUUUUAUUAGAUCAAAACCAAUCGGCGGCGGGUGCGUUCGCGCGCCCGUUCGCCGCUCAAUCUGGUGACUCUGAAUAACUUUCGGCUGAUCGCACGGUCCAGCACCGGCGACGCAUCUUUCAAAUGUCUGCCUUAUCAACUGUCGAUGGUAGGUUCUGCGCCUACCAUGGUCGUAACGGGUAACGGGGAAUCAGGGUUCGAUUCCGGAGAGGGAGCCUGAGAAACGGCUACCACAUCCAAGGAAGGCAGCAGGCGCGCAAAUUACCCACUCCCGGCACGGGGAGGUAGUGACGAAAAAUAACGAUACGGGACUCAUCCGAGGCCCCGUAAUCGGAAUGAGUACACUUUAAAUCCUUUAACGAGGACCAAUUGGAGGGCAAGUCUGGUGCCAGCAGCCGCGGUAAUUCCAGCUCCAAUAGCGUAUAUU